AAAAAUUUAGUUAAUAUCUAUAACAUCAAUUUGUCAUAUUGAAAUAAAUUUCAUUAUUAAUUUUUA
Molecule: transfer RNA, 66 nt
Filed under: Tenebrionoidea sp. 3 KM-2017
Lineage: Eukaryota; Metazoa; Arthropoda; Insecta; Coleoptera
Description: tRNA-Asp
Source: RNAcentral